CCUACGGGAGGCAGCAGUGGGGAAUAUUGCACAAUGGGCGGAAGCCUGAUGCAGCAACGCCGCGUGCGGGAUGACGGCCUUCGGGUUGUAAACCGCUUUCGCCUGUGACGAAGCGUGAGUGACGGUAAUGGGUAAAGAAGCACCGGCUAACUACGUGCCAGCAGCCGCGGUGAUACGUAGGGUGCGAGCGUUGUCCGGAUUUAUUGGGCGUAAAGGGCUCGUAGGUGGUUGAUCGCGUCGGAAGUGUAAUCUUGGGGCUUAACCCUGAGCGUGCUUUCGAUACGGGUUGACUUGAGGAAGGUAGGGGAGAAUGGAAUUCCUGGUGGAGCGGUGGAAUGCGCAGAUAUCAGGAGGAACACCAGUGGCGAAGGCGGUUCUCUGGGCCUUUCCUGACGCUGAGGAGCGAAAGCGUGGGGAGCGAACAGGCUUAGAUACCCUGGUAGUCCACGCUGUAAACGGUGGGUACUAGGUGUGGGGUCCAUUCCACGGGUUCCGCGCCGUAGCUAACGCUUUAAGUACCCCGCCUGGGGAGUACGGCCGCAAGGCUAAAACUCAAAUGAAUUGACGG
Molecule: ribosomal RNA, 568 nt
Filed under: uncultured bacterium
Lineage: Bacteria
Description: bacterial SSU rRNA
Rfam family: Bacterial small subunit ribosomal RNA
Source: RNAcentral